UUUCAUUAAUGUUAAUGUAAAAUAAUAUUAUCGUAAUCUUUAAAGAAUUAUUGCAAUUUUUGGUAACGACGCAUUUUAAAAAUUUUAUCCCCUUCUUUAAUUAAGGCUAUGGGAUCGGGACAAGAACCGCCACGUGAUCACACCGUUAGAUGUUUCUGUUGAAACUCCCGCGCAUCAGCUUCGUCGGCGUCCCAUGUAACACUGCAACACCGACAGCACCCUCUGACACAUCCGAUGGAUGCUUUCAACGCUUGUUUACGUGUGAUUCUCGACAAGUUCGCUUGGGUUUUCGAUGCGGAAUGAGGGAGGAAAUCUGUUCACUUGCUGGUGUUUUGCUGUCUCGUGGGAGUUGGAUAUAACUUGAAUUGAUAAGAGACCCGGUGAAGUGGCAAUGUGGGAGCGCUGGAUUUCUAUGGCUGUCUGUUCAUGGGCGCAGAGUAUGCCAUUUUCUUGAAAUUCCCCUUGUUGAGUUAAAGAACUUUUCGAAGAAAUCUCCACUGGAAAAAGGGUUAUCUUUACGGGACCCUUGAGAAUCCCUGUGGAUAACAGUAACUAAGUUGAAGAAGACAUCCGUGAUUGAUGGAUGUGGAAUUGAUGGGUGCGUAAAAUCGGUAAUUCUGGUAUCUAAUCUUUCAGAAAGAUCCGCCUUGUCACCAGGAAAGCGGCAUCUAGUUUUGCAAGUUCUAAGGAGACAGCUGCAUUCCGUUCCCUGGUCAAUGCAGGCUCUGGUUCUAGGAGAACGGGAAUAAUGUAGGUUUCUGUGUCACUUGCUUUUUUGGUUGACUACGGAGUUGGAACUGUGUAACAUUGUAGUAUUCCCAAAGAGGAACCUCAGCGAGCAACUUUGAUGUUGGUUAAGAAAACACCUGUCUUGUGGUUAGAACGUCACAGAAGCAUUCUAAUGCCACUUGUUCGUGUUGUCGAAUCAUUGGCAGCAUGACUAGAAUAAAUGGUUGAUAGUUUCCUUGAGAUUUUUCAAGUCUUUACAUGCAUACCCUGUAUAGUGCAAUAGGUUCUUUUCAAGCGAAUAUUCCCUUUCAAUUGGCAGUUGGGCCGUCACAUUAGUAGGCGAUGCCUUGAUCUGCCAAGUGUCUUUGGCAGUUCCAAUGGUCUGAAAAGUAGAGGGAAAUUUUUGAGCCACUACAUUUUAGGUUCAGUAAGGUGGUCCCUGGGGUCCGUCCACAUCAACUUGAACAUAUCUACAAGUGCAGACUGGGCAGUGAGUCAGCAGAAACAUGGAUUCUGAGCACCAUUGACUAACAUGGCCCCAGUCAUCCCGAGAAACAGAUUCCAGAAUAUUUUGAGUGGAAAAGAUCUUCUCACUCUUUUAAAUCUCCUUUUUGUCUAGCUCAAAAGAUGUUAUCUUUUGACAUUGUUGGAUGGAUACAAGUUCUAAAUGUUCAUUAGGGUAACAUUGUUGCAUAAAGCAGAAAAUACGGUACAUGAUUGUUGGUGAUACAAGAAAGCACAAAAAACUCAUUGAUAAUCGAGUUGAAUUUUAGAGAAAAGGUUUUGCUCUGAAGUCCUUACUAUGUAAUUUUGGAUAAAUACUAAAUGCUGAUGCGUAAUUUGUCUGCUGAUUCUGCUUUUAGUUGGUGAUGAUGGAGGUCAAACAUGGGAGUCUGUCUUCUUUCCAGUGCAAUUGUAACAAAGCUAGCAAGUUCAUUGAUUAAACAGAUAUUGGAAAAUAACAAUCAUGGUUCCACUUUUUUCUUCUUCUAAUGUUUCAAUGAACUGUACGUGCAGCAUUUGAAGCUCCGUUCCUUCAUUGGGUAGACAUCUCGCCCUUCGGUUUUGUGUGACUCGAGGACAACAUCCACCCAUUACCAGGGCUAAUAUCGAAUGAAUGUAUCCUAUAGUUAAAUUGUUUGUUCCCACGGUUGUGUGGCACAUCAAGGGAUACACCAAAUUUAGAGUUUGCUGAUGUCUCAAUACAUACACCUUCACUCA
Molecule: long non-coding RNA, 1950 nt
Organism: Syzygium oleosum
Lineage: Eukaryota; Viridiplantae; Streptophyta; Magnoliopsida; Myrtales; Myrtaceae
Exons: 2
Source: RefSeq, a predicted model, not a curated record